This 29-nucleotide small RNA is filed under the name Bombyx mori (domestic silkworm). RNAcentral describes it as "ovarian small RNA-28669". Lineage: Eukaryota; Metazoa; Arthropoda; Insecta; Lepidoptera; Bombycidae. The record is from RNAcentral.
UCGCCAGCUGAGCGACCAUGACGGAAACC